UGCCUAGGCUCUCAAAGGCGAAGAAAGACGUGAUAAGCUGCGAUAAGGUUCGGGGAGGAGCAAAUAUCUUUUGAUCCGGACAUUUCUGAAUGGGGAAACCCGGCUGGUUGAAGACCAGUCAUCCGCAAGGAGGCAAACCCGCUGAACUGAAACAUCUAAGUAGGCGGAGGAAGAGAAAACAAUAGUGAUUUCCGUAGUAGCGGCGAGCGAAGUGGAAAUAGCCCAAACCGGUUUUGUUUCGGCAAAAUCGGGGUUGUAGGACUACAAUAUCCGUAAAUAAGUAUAGCAGAAUCAUCUGGAAAGUUGAGCGAUAUAGGUGACAGCCCUGUAUGCGAAAUGCUUAUGAAGGUAGUAGUAUCCUGAGUAGGGCGGGACAUGUGAAAUCCUGUCUGAAUCUGCCAGAACCAUCUGGUAAGGCUAAAUACUCUUGAGAGACCGAUAGCGAACUAGUACCGUGAGGGAAAGGUGAAAAGAACCCUGAACAAGGGAGUGAAAAAGACCCUGAAACCGUGUGUUUACAAGCGGUCGAAGCCUUCGGGCGACGGCGUGCCUUUUGCAUAAUGAUCCUACGAGUUACUCCUCAUUGGCAAGGUUAAGAUUUUAAGGAUCGAAUCCGAAGCGAAAGCGAGUCUGAAUAGGGCGAUAUAGUCAGUGGGGGUAGACGCGAAACCUUGUGAUCUACCCAUGGGCAGGCUGAAGGCCGGGUAAAACCGGCUGGAGGGCCGAACGCACCAACGUUGAAAAGUUGGGCGAUGACCUGUGGGGAGGACUAAAAGUGUAAUCAAACUGGGAGAUAGCUCGUUCUCUCCGAAAUAUUUUUAGGAAUAGCCUCUUGCGGCAACUGUUGGGGGUAGAGCCACUGGAUACGGCUGGGGCCCUCGGGUACCCACUGUAACCAAACUCCGAAUACCAACAGCCAAGGCAAGGGAGUCAGCCCACGAGUGACAAUAUCCGUGGACAAAAGGGAAACAUCCCAGACCGCCAGCUAAGGUCCCUGAACAUUGCUUAGUUCUAAAGGAAGUCGAAGCGCAAAGACAGCCAGGAUGUUGGCUUAGAAGCAGCCACCAUUUAAAGAGUGCGUAAUAGCUCACUGGUCGAGGGUUUCGGCGCCGAUAAUGAUCGGGAAUAAGCAAUGUACCGAAGCUGCGGGCUGCGUAAGCAGCGGUAGGAGAGCGUUCCUGUCAGCAGAGAAGGCGUCCCGAAAGGGUCGCUGGAGCGUCAGGAAGUGAAUAUGCCGGGUUGAGUAACGAUAAAGCAGGUGAAAAUCCUGCUCGCCGAAAAUCUAAGGUUUCCUGGGGAAGGUAAAUCCGCCCAGGGUCAGCCGGGACCUAAGGUGAGGCCGAAAGGCGUAGCCGAUGGACGGCAGGUUAAUAUUCCUGCGCUACUGUGGAGAUCAAUCAUGAGUGCGGAUCGGUCAGCCCUGCGUAAGCACCAGCUUGCUGAGGCCCUUGAGGCCGCUGCAGGGGGCUCUGGUCCCGAGAAAAGCUCAUGUGGCAAAGCAGUACCCGUACCAAAACCGACACAGGUAGAUGAGGUGAAUAACCUAAGGCGCUCGAGAUAACGGAAGUGAAGGAAUUAGGCAAAUUGACCCCGUAAGUUCGCGAUAAGGGGGCCCUACCCCUCGGGGAGGGCGCAGAGAAAAGGCUCUGGCGACUGUUUAUCAAAAACACAGCACUGUGCUAACUCGCAAGAGGACGUAUACAGUGUGACGCCUGCCCAAUGCCGGAAUGUCACGGAAGCGGGUUAGCUUCGGCGAAGCUCGUAACCUAAGCACCGGUCAAUGGCGGCCGUAACUAUGACGGUCCUAAGGUAGCGAAGUUCCUUGUCGGGUAAGUUCCGACGCGCAUGAAUGGCGUAACGACUGGAGCACUGUCUCCACUUCCGACUCGGUGAAAUAGUAGUGGCGGUGAAGAUGCCGCCUACCCGCGACAAGACGGAAAGACCCCAUGAACCUUUACUAUAGGCUUUUAUUGCACAUGAGUUUGUAUUGCGUAGGAUAGGUGGGAGGCUUUGAAGCGGCC
Molecule: ribosomal RNA, 2021 nt
Filed under: Scrippsiella trochoidea
Lineage: Eukaryota; Dinophyceae; Peridiniales; Peridiniaceae
Description: partial Bacterial large subunit ribosomal RNA
Rfam family: Bacterial large subunit ribosomal RNA
Source: RNAcentral